Molecule: ribosomal RNA, 237 nt
Filed under: uncultured Staphylococcus sp.
Lineage: Bacteria; Bacillati; Bacillota; Bacilli; Caryophanales; Staphylococcaceae
Description: partial 16S ribosomal RNA
Rfam family: Bacterial small subunit ribosomal RNA
Source: RNAcentral
CGGGUGAGUAACACGUGGAUAACCUACCUAUAAGACUGGGAUAACUUCGGGAAACCGGAGCUAAUACCGGAUAAUAUUUUGAACCGCAUGGUUCAAAAGUGAAAGACGGUCUUGCUGUCACUUAUAGAUGGAUCCGCACUGCAUUAGCUAGUUGGUAAGGUAACGGCUUACCAAGGCAACGAUGCAUAGCCGACCUGAGAGGGUGAUCGGCCACACUGGAACUGAGACACGGUCCAG